Arachis duranensis is the source of this 1435-nucleotide long non-coding RNA. RefSeq lists it as uncharacterized. The transcript has 9 exons. The record is from RefSeq and is a predicted model, not a curated record. NCBI's taxonomy places the organism in Eukaryota, Viridiplantae, Streptophyta, Magnoliopsida, Fabales, Fabaceae.
UCCUUCUUCAUUCAAAGACCCUAAGUCCAAACUCCUCCUUCAAACAUUAAGCACCAUUUCGUUCAGAAGAUAACCCUAAGCCCUCUCUUCAUUGUGCCUCACCCUAACCCUCUCUUCAUCGUGCCUCACCCUCACCCUAACUCUGCGAGGACGACACUCCGUGAAGAACGUCGCUGCGCUCGCAAUGCCUCCACCGGAAAUCCCUCUUCCGGCAUCCCUAACCCUCCUUCUGUGGUGAUUCUCUCAGGCGGUGACUCCCUCUGCUCACUUGCUGUCGCAAACUCACCGUCGAUGCUCCCUUUGCCGCUGCUCCCUUCCAUCGCUGCAAACCCCUAACCCCUUCUGCGCUACUCCCUUUUUUCGUGCAGGCCGGGGCCCCUUCCAUCGAUGCUUCGUUGCUGGUUUUGAGAGUUGGUAACCCAGCCGCCUGGUGAUUCAAUUUCCAGCAUUUUUUCAGUCCCAAGGCCAAUUUUGUUGUCGCUACUUCAUAUGAUAACUAGGUUCGAUGUUGGGAGAUUGCAAGGAAUGGAACUGUUAUCAAUAGCACACCCAAGGCUUCAAUAUCUCAUGACCAACCAGUUUUGUGCUCCACUUGGAAGGAUGAUGGAACACCGGUUUUCUCCGGAGGCUGUGACAAGGUGUCAAGGUUGUAUAUAGAACAAAGGAGCUGGAAGAGCAACAAACAAAGAGGAUGCUGGUAUGGAGUGGAUUCUUCACCUUGAUACGGAUGAAUUAAUACACCCAGUGGGUGCUCGAGAGUAUUCUUUGAGGCAGUUGCUUCUUGAGGUUCCAGGAAAUGUAGACAUGGUCAUAUUUCCUAACUAUGAGAGCAGUGUUGAGCGAGAUGAUAUUAAAGAACCUUUUAGUGAGGCUAGUGAGAUCAAGUUGGAGGAGGUUGCUAUUUUGCAUUACACAUGCUAAAUUCUCAUAUCUCACUUUCAGACGUGAUCGCUGUGGUUGCAAACCUACCAAAGAUGAUGUAAAAAGAUACUUCAUGUUGGAAUUUGACAGAUCUAUGAGUUUGAAUGGUUCUGGAGCUGUGGCUUCAUCAGUUCCCAAUUCAUCAGCUUUCUUCGGAAGCAGCUUGAAGAAGGUUACAUCAAGAAUCCACAACAGUAGCAAGGUUUCCUCUGGAAGACUUCAAGAUUGUGGCGAUCGAUGAGGACAAGCAGACAGAUACGGACAGAUGGAAAGGGUUGGUCUAUGAUAUCUCAGAUGACCAGCAAGACAUCACAAGAAGGAAGGGUAUUUUGUAGUUUUUAAUGUGUAUUUUGUAGAUUUUAGAGGAUGUAGAUAAUGUAAUAGUUGUUGGAAUUGUAAUGUAUGUAUUACAAAGUUAUGGGUAGUUGUUAUCACUUUGAUUUUUUGUUAGAGCUUGUCAUGUGAUCAACCACUAUAUUUGGUGUACAAGUUUAUGAAGGUUUUAUAUUGUUAA